This 458-nucleotide ribosomal RNA is filed under the name uncultured bacterium. RNAcentral describes it as "bacterial SSU rRNA". It matches the Rfam family "Bacterial small subunit ribosomal RNA", at positions 341 to 786 of the family's 1533-position model. The record is from RNAcentral.
ACGGAAGGCAGCAGUGGGGAAUAUUGCACAAUGGGCGAAAGCCUGAUGCAGCUAUGCCGCGUGUAUGAAGAAGGCCUUAGGGUUGUAAAGUACUUUCAUCGGGGAGGAAAAAACAAAACUAAUAAUUUUAUUUCUUGACGUUACCCGAAAAAGAAGCACCGGCUAACUCCGUGCCAGCAGCCGCGGUAAUACGGAGGGUGCUAGCGUUAAUCAGAAUUACUGGGCGUAAAGAGCACGUAGGUGGUUUUUUUAAAGUCAGAUGUGAAAUCCCUGGGCUUAACCUAGGAACUGCAUUUUUGAAACUGAAAUACUAGAGUAUCGUAGAGGGAGGUAGAAUUCUAGGUGUAGCGGUGAAAUGCGUAGAUAUCUGGAGGAAUACCUGUGGCGAAAGCGGCCUCCUAAACGAAUACUGACACUGAGGGUGCGAAAGCGUGGGGAGCAAACAGGGAUUAGAUACC